Molecule: long non-coding RNA, 1947 nt
Organism: Cuculus canorus (common cuckoo)
Lineage: Eukaryota; Metazoa; Chordata; Aves; Cuculiformes; Cuculidae
Exons: 3
Source: RefSeq, a predicted model, not a curated record
CAUGAGAAUUCAAGAUGGAUAACGUCCAUCUUUCAGAGCUUUAGAUAGAUGGCUGGGAAUCUAGGAGGAUAGUCAAGUUAACAUCUGGCAGAAAGAAUUACUUGGAAGAAUACCAUAUGUCCUGAACACAGACUGAAGAAGAUGAAGAUGAUGCUGGCUGACAGUAAAGAGCAUUUUUAGGAACCUGAAUAAGGUCUUGUGCAAUAUAAUAAUCGAAGCUGGAAGUGUCUAUGCAGCUUUGCCAAGAAGACAAAUUGGGUAAGUUUACGUAGUAUUUUAAUUUUUAAAACUUUAUUGAUCUCAAAAAAUUUGGCAAGCUUUCAUCAAAAAUAGAUAAAAGGCGUAUAAGUUUCUCACCAGUUCUAGAGAUGAAGCGAAAGAAAUAUUUUAUGACAGAUUGUGCUGUAGUCAUAUAGUGAGUCAUAGCUAGAAUCAGAACUCAGAAAACUUGACUUUAUUUCCCCAUUUUUUUGCGUUUCUCUGCCAAGUGUUGCCCACAGGACUGUAUAAUAUUUGCAGGUUCAUUUUGGCUAAACAUUAAAUGAGUUCUUGAGUGAUGACACCUCUACUUCAGGAGAACAUUUGACUUUAACUAAAUCACAAAGAAGAGGGACUGUUUCCUAGAAACUACAUAAUGUUCUAUUGAAAUCACUUUUUCUUCAAGCAAAAUUCCUUUUUGGUGUAGCGGAUGGGUGAAAUGACAUUCUGAGCUCAUCUAAUCUUCAAUGUGUAGCCUUGUGCUACAACAAAGUGAAGAAAAAGCUGAAGGCUUACUGACAGCAAUAUAAUCUCCCUAAUACUGAGAUUGAUCUAUCUCGUCUGCAGAGAAAGAGGCGGCUGUGGUGCAUACCAAUGAAGAAGCAGAGCAUUUGGAAAGGCUGCAGCGAGUCUGAUCUGUCUGUCAGCAAAAGAGUGAGCUUGUUCACUAAAUAUCACAGCCUUCAGAUUAAGAAACUAUGUACGGGAGGCAAAAAAGAAGAUAACAUGAAGGAUGAGUGAAGAAAAGCAACAACUAUGUUCUCUGUGCGUGCUCUGAUUAGAACGCAAUAGAGGAAACCAUUCAAAGUUCAGUGGCUAGACAAGAGAGUCAAGGCUAGUAGACAAAGGUACAGUCAAGAAAAUUCAUCUUAAUGCUGCCAUCCAUGACUGCGAGAAUCAAAAUGAAUACUUAAAAUAUUAGACUAUUUAAAAUAUUGUUCUUUUUCCUGUUGUUGUUGGGAAUUAUCAUGAAAUACUUUCUGAAAGUAUUACAAAACCUAUUUGUCUGUAUGUUUGCUGAAGCAGUUGCAGUCAGUAGACUGGAAGGAGAUUCUGAGGAAUUCUUUGGAGUAUUUAGAAACUCUUAAAAAGCUUAAUUAUUUCAAAUCUCUAUACAAAAUAUACUCAGUAGGGACCAUGCAUAUCCUGUCUUACUCUUUUCAAAUACUUCAUCACACCUGUGGUUGGACCUUAUGAUCUUAAAGUCUUUUCCAACCUGAACAAUUCUGUGAUUUUAAUGUUAGUGGUUUUUUUUAAAAAAAAUAUCUUUACCUUUCACCAUAUAAAACAGUUGGAGAAAAAGAUGUGCAAGUGCCUAUAAUGAGUGCAAAUUCAUCUGGCUGUAUUUUUAUCUUUCAGCACCUGCUAGGCCAGCACGGGCAAAAAAAAAAUUUAAUCCCAUGUGUAAGUCAUGCAGCUGAACAUUUAUGCAUGGCUUGGAAAACCUAGACAGAUAAUGGACCAGUGUUGAAAUGUGCUAACCACAAUGCAAUAGGUAAACUAUAACUCGGAAGACGAUUCUGCAGGAUUCCUCCAUUUCUCUUGUUAUGUCCUGGUAUGUAUCUGAUGUGGAAUGACUGUUGUCACUGGGUACAAAACUAUGUUUUUCCUUCAAACACCUCUUCAGGUGUUUCUUCCACAUGUUCCUCAUCCAUACACGGGGACCUGGAGGAAACCAGAAAACAAUUA